UUCUAAAUUUGUAGUAUUUGAUUGACAAUGCUAAUCUGAUUCUUAUUCAGCACAACUAAAGUUCAAAACAAAAUAACUGCAUUCAAAAUUAGUAUAUUGUUCUGUCAACCGCAGACUAAUACAGCCGUUUCAUACGAACAAAAGUCCACAAACAAGUGUGGAGGAAUGAAAAAGUUCAAAAUUAUUUAAACACUGCUGAAAAUUGUAAAAAACUCAUUAUCUAUUUGUUUCUCAUUUAUCAAACUACUUCUAUGAGAGUUGUCUCAUAGUCACUUGGAGCCUCAAAUCCAUGAAGAUUCAUCACAGUUGCAGCUACGUUGGCCAAACCACCGGUGGGAACAUCGUUGCGGAAUCUGACACCAGGAGUCAAUCCAGGACCUCCAAUGGCAAUUGGCACCUUAACAAACAUAGAAAAAUAAAAGAUUUUUAGAACCAAAUUUGAGCUUGUUGUCUGUAUAAUAAUGACUACGUAUGUACUAGUAUAUGUUAAGAAAAGACCCCGAACUGAAUGCAUAGUCGGAACUAAUUAUAUAUUAGGUAGUAAAACUUACUGGCUCAAGAGUAUGAGAAGUAAGAAUCUGGACUUUUCCAUCCUUUAGCAGAGGUUUUCCAGCCUUGUCCCUCUUGACCAUAUCUUCUGCAUUCCCAUGGUCAGCAGUGACUACAUAAAUUCCACCCACUUGCUCAAUUGCGUCAAGAAUCAUCUGCAAUUACAUUUAUAAAUACACAGUAUUAUUACAAGGAGUAUAGCCUUCACUUACAAGGCAAUAACACAUAAUGAAAGGAUUGUGCUAUAUAUUUAAACACAGCACUGCUUUUUACUCUUAAUUUCAUAACAUAAUAUAAUGACAACGAAAAAUUUCAAAUUUUCAGCUAGAGCUCAAAAAACAUAACAAAAGAUAUAUUUCCAGAAAAUUUCAAAAAUUAAGUUCGUACCUUUACAGCUUUGUCGGCUGCCUUACAAGCCACAACUGUUGCUUCAAUGUCACCUGUAUGCCCCACCAUGUCACCAUUUGGUAUGUUGACACGUAUCUACACAACAGAAAAAAAAUAAGAUAGUUAACUAAAAGUUUAUCAUUAGACAAUCAAUCUAAAAACCACCCAAUAAUCCAUUUACUUACCUGAUCAAAUUUACCGCUAAGAAUUGCAUCCCUUGCCUUCUCGCCAAUCUCCAAAGCCUUCAUUAAUGGCUGCUCAUUGAAUGUUAUGCCAGAGUCACUUGGAAUCUCAACAUAUUCCUCCAGUUUCUCAUCAAAAUAUCCAGACCGGUUCCCAUUCCAGAAAAAUGUGACAUGACCAAACUUAACAGUCUCACUGUUGAAGAAGAAAUACAUUAGUGACUUUGAUAACUAUCAUUUAAAAGCAAUCAUUUUAGAUAAUGCAAAGCGCCCAAGGUAAAAACUACAGUCAAGAUAGUAGUUAACAUAAAGGAUAUGAUGAAAUUUUAUGAUUACAAAAUUUUCACCAUCAACUAUAGAAUGAUCAUUUAGCAAGAUAAGUGAUUCGCAUGAAACUAUUACAUAUCAAGAGAAAACCAACAGAUUAAAUAGGUUAUAACUCACCUGCAAGCAAAAGUGCGAACACCAUUUUUGACUAAAUAUUCACCAGAAGUCCUGUCGAUCUCUGGUGGAGAAACAAGGUAAUGUUUUGGAAGCUUCAAUUCACCGUCAUAUUCGAGCAUACCAGCAUAACGGAUUUUAGGUACACGUACUCUAUCGAAGUUGUCAAAUUUUUCAUAUUCAAGAGCCUUAGCAAGCAUAGUCAUACGAUCUGCCCGGAAGUUAAAUGUAACAACAGCAUCUCCGUCGACUAUAGGACCAACAGAUUUUCCACUCUCAUCAACAAUAACAAAAGGAGGCAGAUACUGGUCAUUGGCCUUUGGUGCUGCCCUCAAUGUCUUGAUGGCUUCAAGAGCAUUUGUGAACUUAUGAGGUGCUUCGCCAAGAACUUGAGCAUCCCAUCCACGUUUCACAACACCCCAGUCAUUCUGCAAGUUGUUUUGAAAUCAUUUAUAUUAUUCAUAUCUAACAUAUAUGUACACACAUCUACAAAUAUUUAAAGUCAACAAAAUUUAUUUGGUGUAAAUAUAAGAAAUAUGAAUACAAAACAAAACCACAAAAAGGAAAUCUAAUAACUCAAAUGUUUUCAUAACUAAGAUAGAUAAAUGAGAUUACACAACCAUUCUACCAUAACUUGAAUCCUUCAGUUAAAACAGUCAUGAUUUCAUAGGCAGAAAAAUUAUUAUCUUUCCUUUUAUCAAACUUCCGAGCCAAUAUGGUAAUACAACAAAAAAUCACACAUUUUCAAUAAACAGGAUAAAAUUGGCCAGUGUAUUAAGACUAAUGGCAACACAAAAAUCAGUAAAACAAAGAAACUAGGUAAGUUUGAAUGAUGUAAGUACAAAUAUUAGAAGAUUAAACACUAAGCUUGAUGCAGAGCUGAACUUAAGAACCUAAUCAGACACCAUAUAGUAAACUACGUUUAAUUUACAAAAAAUAUUUACAACUUCCGUUAACUAUUCUUUCUUUUUAAAAAGAAAUUAAAACUGACCGGUAUACAUAUAAACAGAAAAGAAAAAGAGUGUCGAAUUUGUUAACAUUUUAAAUGAAAUGGUGGAUAAUUGAUAUGCAAUACCUCAUAACGAUCCAUUGUGACAUUCAUGCGACCUCCACCUGAAGCAAUCUGUGCAUCAAUACCUUUCUCACGCAAUUUUGCAAGAUCAUUUUCAAGGGUUUCCACAAAACCCACACUUGAGCCAUCCAAAACAUCACGACCAUCAGUAAGAAUAUGGAGACGGACUCUCUUAACACCUCGCUCACUAGCUCCUUUAAGCAACAACUGUACAAAAAUAGAUUGUUAGAACAAAGAAGGCACAAAUUAUGCAAACAUAAAGAUACAGAAGUUUGAAAAACAUCAAAUCACCUGCACUUGAUCAAGUCUGGAGUGAACUCCACCAUCACUUAGCAGUCCAAUGAGAUGUAAUGUGCCGGUUUCAAAACUUUCCUUUAUGUAAUUGAAACCAUCUCCUUCGAAAAUCUUUCCAGUUUCUAGAGCAAUGUCAACAAGCUUUGCACUACAAUAAACAAACACAAACCAGUACAUCCCAAUCAUCACAUGUGCUACGAACAUUAUAGUACAGAAGAAUUAGUGCAAAAAUUUCAGGAUGUUAAGUGCGCAAGACCCAAUCCUAAUGUUUGGAAAGAAUCACCCUAACAUAAGAAUGUGCGUCCUUAGGAAAACUGACAUGCAUAGUAAGGCGAAGCCACAAACAAGUUGACUAUUCAUUUGAAUCCUAAAACUAAACCAGGCAUGAUCGAAUUGCAAAUUUGUGACAUCAAAAAAUAGGCGCAGCGCAAUCCAUGACAUCAAAAAAUAGGCGCAGCAAAUCCAUGACAAAAAAAAAUAGGCGCAGCAAAUCCAAAUGUUUGAAAGAAACAAAAUUGGUUCACAUUUUCCAAUAUUGUACAUCAAGAAACACCACACCAGUUACAUAAUUUAUGACGCAUCGAAGACCAAGUACUUACCAAGACAUAGGUGAAUAAAUAAAUAAAAAAACAUUUUUUCAAAAGGAAAAGACAACAUAGCUGUUGUUGAUUAUAGCGUUGCAUCCUAAAACUAAAUUAGUCAUGAAAAUGAGCAAUUAGCUUAUCAUAUAAUAUAAUUUCAGGCAGUUUAGAUAGGCUUAUUUGAGCUUAUCCACUGGCAUAAGUUUUGUGAGACUAUUUGAGAGAACUUAUGAAAACAGCUUGAGAAAAUUUUCAAAAACUUUUUUCAGCUUAUGUUCAUAAGUUCUCUAAUAUAGUUUAUUAAAACAACUUAUAGCAUAUACAAAUAAAAUUUAUCUUUAGCUGUAAAACAAGCUUAUCCAUUAUCAUGAUAAGCACUUGUGCUAUAAGCUACAAAUAAGUUGUUUAUCCAAACAGGCCCUUUAUUUAGUAUACGAUUACUACUACUGCUACUAACUAGUAUCACUAGCAAAAUACACACGGAACCAAACCAAAUAGAUCGAAAUCAUAAGCUAUUUAAAUUUACCCUUGAGCAAAUAUACGACCGGCACCAAGCGCGUUAUGACCAACUUCACUGUUACCCAUAUCAUCCUCAGUUGGAAGUCCUACUGCUUUACCAUGAGCCCUCACCAAUCUCCAAUGUUCAGGAGCACCCUACAACAUAACAAAACAAUAUAACUUUAAACAAAAACCCAGAGCAGCAAUAGAUCUAACUAUAUUCAAUCCGAAAGAGAUGAUUAUACCUGUUUAAGGGAAUCCAUGGUAGGUGUUUCAGCGUUGUGAAUACAAUUGUAUUCAUUAGCAUUAGCUUCACCCCAACCAUCCAAAACAAUAACAGCAACUGUCUUUCCCUUUGGUAGCUUAGGAUGAUCCGGUAAUUUCCAUGAAAAAUCAGUGCUUCCCAUCUUUCUUUAUAUCAGAUUCUGAUUCAAUCACAAAACCAUAAAUCAACAACAAAUUUCACAUGUGAUUAUGUAUGGUGAUGAUAUCUAUGCAUGCUAUUAAAUUAAACAAGUUGAUUUGGAUCUUAAAUCUGAGAUUAGAUAAAAUAAAUCUGAGACAAAUCAUGGUAGAAAGUAGAAGAAACAUACCUAACUAACGAUUUUUUAUUGUGUGAGAGGCGCGACUAACUGUUUGCACAAAUGUCACAGAGGUAACCUAACACAGACCAAAACCUUA
RNAcentral lists this long non-coding RNA (4685 nucleotides) under Medicago truncatula (barrel medic). Its description in RNAcentral is "lncRNA gene41274". The record is from RNAcentral. Lineage: Eukaryota; Viridiplantae; Streptophyta; Magnoliopsida; Fabales; Fabaceae.